RNAcentral lists this ribosomal RNA (253 nucleotides) under uncultured bacterium. RNAcentral describes it as "partial 16S ribosomal RNA". It matches the Rfam family "Bacterial small subunit ribosomal RNA", at positions 524 to 776 of the family's 1533-position model. The record is from RNAcentral.
UACGUAGGGGGCAAGCGUUGUCCGGAAUUAUUGGGCGUAAAGCGCGCGUAGGCGGCUUUGUAAGUUAGAGGUGAAAGCCCGGGGCUCAACCCCGGAAUUGCCUUUAAGACUGCAUCGCUUGAAUCCGGGAGAGGUGAGUGGAAUUCCGAGUGUAGAGGUGAAAUUCGUAGAUAUUCGGAAGAACACCAGUGGCGAAGGCGGCUCACUGGACCGGCAUUGACGCUGAGGUGCGAAAGCGUGGGGAGCAAACAGG